GAAACCCGUGUAGAUAUACAUGUCGAUCCUUUGCUACACGGGCUUGUGCAUCGGAUCUUAACGUUCAUUGCUCAGAUACCCCUCCAGGAGGAGGUCGGCAUAUCCAGUGUUUGUUGAAUAUUAUUGCUGAUCCUGUCAAAGCUGAAAGUUUAAAUCGCAACUGUCAUGUAAUGUUAUCGCAGAGGCUGGAACUUUUUAGAGAAGCAAGCAACAAUUUUAUUGCUCUCCCACAGAGCAUGGGGGAUCUCUAUGGUCAAGUUUCACAUUCACCACAGAAGAAAUAUUUUUUCCUAAUGUUGUUCUCAUUAUCGGGAUGGUGUUCCUUUCAGGUCUCUUCUUUGGCCGUGCCUCACGUCGGUCAGUGUACUCACUUUUAGUAUCAAAUCCUAAGAGCAACAAGUUAUGAUACCAAAAAAAUUUUAGGAUCUGAGGACUCAGUCAAUUUUAUUUUUUGUGGAUGCACCAAAGGCAUUGAAAAGGAGAUCAUGGAAAACACUAAAAAAAUGACAAUCAGAGGUUCAAUCAGAUGUCUAUCUUUCUUUAAAUACCUGAUAGUUUCUUUUCAAAAUCAGAGGUGCAGUUUGGCUGUCUUGUCAAAAAAUCAAGGUUUAAAGAAUAUUAUCAAGUGCAUGUGAAAGUUUUGAUUUCUUAUUCAAGUUUUGAUAUGGUGCUGCCAAGUUAGCUGUAAAAUUGGUGAGACAACGCAACCAUUGUUUCUAUGCUGUAACUUGACAUGGCGACAAUACCAAGAGUGUUUGCUGAGCCCAGAAUUGCAGAAAAUGUAUAUUUGAUUGACAUGCUUCGGUCAAAUGAGGGUUUCAAAUUUUCUGAGCCUAGGAAGAAAAAAAUCCGAGGCAGGCUAUCAAGUGCUUACAAUAUGCAAGUAAGCACGGUGUUUUAGACUUCCCCACUUUCAUGCACACAUUCCAAUUCUUACUUAUCUUAGGCUCUUUCACCCCUGAAUUAUUUAGCCCCCUGGCUCAAAUAAAAAAUCUAGAAGUUUCUCUCUGAUUUAAAUUAAAUUUCAUUUCUACAGCGUUCAUUGUUUUCCACACAAAACUUUGAUAAUAAAUGAUUUCAAUGUGGCUUAGUUAAAGUCCUGUCUGUUGUUGAAGUGUUUAACUUUUCAAAUGUCUUUGGUGAAUACUUAUGUGAUAUUUAAAACUUGUAAAUUACUUUAAGUAGCUUGGAACUUUUUUUUUUUUUUUUAUCACAAGUGUUAGUAGUACUGUCUAGUUUUUGGCUGAAGGCUUUUACUUUUCAUAUAAGCACUUGCCUUUGACUGAAAAAAAAGUAUGAAUCUUUAAUAAAGAUUAUUUCAAUGAGUUUUUACUAAGGAAGGAAAACAUUUCUAAAAUGGUGCAUUUGUUUUUUUAGAGUGUUAUGUAAUUUUGUUAAGUAGAGUUGUAGAAAAUUAAAAGAAAUUUACUUGUAUUUCUUCAAUAGUGAUGACUGAUGCGUUAAUAUUCUCUUAAUUGACGCGAUAAUUAAAAAAUAAAUGUGAGAGACACUGUGCGUUACACAAUGACGUUGAUAAUUUAGCUCUUCUUGGCUCGUUACUGAUUCACAGCCUAGCUACUUUACAGCUUUGGAUUAAUGACUAAAGUAAAAUUAAGGAGUCGUGCAAGAGAGCAAAAAUAUAGUGUAGUUUUAGACCCUACCAGAGACCGUGCUGAGCUUUUUCUUUCCAAAUCGGAAAAAACGAUGAUCUUAUACGCCGUUUCUCAUGUCCAAAUAUUGCUCUCUUAAAACAACAUGCAAGUUUAGUUUCCUCCUCACUGUUCAAAAAUCUUUGAGCAAACUAGUGCCACUACUUCUACCUAAGAUUUAUACAUCUAGAGGUAUCAUUUGCUCAAAUGAAAAGUUGAUUUAUAUCAAUCCCUCAACUCUUUAGGACUUGUGUACUUUAAAGUACUGUCUAUUGUUCUAUAAAGCGGCCUUAACAACUUUAUGACUCGUCCUCAAAAAGAAAAAAAAACAAUUCAAUUGAGAACAGAGUGAGCAACUUUUAAUAUGUUUUCACAAAAAAUUAUGAAAGCAUUUCGAAGUGCAUUUCAAGGCCAAGGCAAGUAAUUUUGCAUUUGACUAGAAGCUAAAAUACUAUUAUUCUUUCUUUCAGUGUAAAAAUUUCGAAAGAAAUUCAUAAAGUUUAUCUAGUUUUAAAUGUUUCUUGUUACUUAGUAGUUGGAUGGUAUUAAGAUUAUGUCUUUCUGAAACAAAACAACUUCCUAGAAUAAGUGUAUUUGUUUGUAUAAAUUAAAGUAUAGGACGUAAAAAAAGUGAUGGUUUUUUACCUCAACUAGUCUGUUUUAAAAAAAAAAAGUUUAUAAGCCAAUGAGCCCGAAUGCAUAAUAUCUUUGCCUCAGUCCCUGUAUCUAAAGGGAAUCUAUCCUUGGUCUCCAGGGGCGCUUCAGGGGCUCAGAGGUUUACUUUUUGUGAUUUUUUACAUGUAUUGUACAGCUUACUUGUAGUUUUAACAAAUCGGCAAAAUUAACAGAGUUCAGUGCAAAGUUUUCAUUUAGUGACCAAAGCAAUAGUUUCUACGAUUUACCGUGGCUAAAAAAUAAAAACAAUGAUCUCGAAAGAUGCAGGAUUGAAUGCAGAAAUGAGUAAAGUUAUAUGAAACAGUCAUAAAUUGACUGGCAAUGAACAGUUGCUUUAGCAAUCACAACUGCUUCUUUUACAUCUAAAAGGCGCAAAUCCCUUUUCCAUGGGAAAUUCAAAAUCUGUUGACAUCGAACAUUUUCAGGUCUAUCACACUGGUUUCCAAGCUGUAAUUUAAAUUUAAGAUCAAGAUAACUCAUCAUGCCAAAAAAGGAUCCUAAGCGGUGACUUCAACCUUGCCCUUUUGAUCCUACAUACUUCAUAUAAAUGUAUAAAUAAAAAAAGUAUAAUGUGUGUACAUGCAUUUGUAAUGUAAUGAGACUGGUUUUAAUAGGCUAAAACAAUGCAAAGUAUCGUUUUCAAGGGUAACAAUCUGCAAAAUCCCCCUAAAAAUGGUCAUUUACCGUUGAUAAAUAAAAAUUUGGCAAAAGGAACUAGAUUUACUCACAAAAGACUGUAAAUCGGCAAAUCAUGUAAGUUUACCUAUACACAACCCUUUGUCAGCCACUUUUCACCAUAUUGACAUUGUUACCUGCACGCUAAAAACUAAUGAACAGACUGAAUUCGGCAAAUGUUAGCCAAGGAUAUAUUACUAUCUAAGCUCAUCCAAUUAAUGAUUAUUUUCCCUGAGUAAGUUAUUUUUAUGAGUUUUUAAUUUUAUGUACAAUUUAGAUUUUAAUCUUGUAGCAAUGCAUUUUUGUAUUCUCACUAUCAAUUUUUUGUGUGUCAGUCUUUCUCCUUGUAUUAUAAAACUGGCAAGGGGAGGCUCAGAAGUGGCCGCCUCCAAUUUUGAUGGGGUUUGCUUGAAGAAUAGUAAAUUGACUAAAUGUUCCACCAGAGCCAAAAAAUCAUCUGAACUGUAAUAUCUUCCUAUAUGCAAGCCCUUAGAUCCGUAAACAUACCUUUGAAGUUUUGCUUGAACAAGAGGUUAAAGUAAACCACAGAUGACAUUGGGCCUCAGUCUGAUGAGUAGGUAAUCUGAUUUUUUCCAUAUACUUUAGUUUACCUAUCUACAAUUGUCACUGUCAUUAGUGAUAUCAAAGAGAAAAGGAAACAGAUGACAUCGCAACCAACAAUUAACAGCACUUCAUUUUAUAGUGGUUUACAUCAAUCCAGCUUUUUUCAAGUUCAAGGGAGAUGAAUUUAAAACCCACUGACUGCAGUGCGAUGUUUGUUUGAUGCAUGUGUACUAUGCGGUUUCAUCCUAUAGUUCAUUUUCUAAAUUUUAAAAUUUUCAGGACAAGUCAGAAGAUAAAUCGACAGUGUAAGUCCGCAAUCACGUAUCUCUGUUUGCGAUGUGGCAGACUUCCCGUCAUACUUAUUUUUUAACGGAAAACUACUCGACAGUAAUUCUUUAAAAAUGCCGUAAUAUUUCUUCUCUGUGCAAAGAAAAUUCUGCAAAAACUUCAAGGAAUGAUGUCAAUUUGUUCUCCUAUAAAAAAUAAUACAGAGGUGGAGAUUUUCAAACACCGCAAACAACGUGAUUACGGACUUAUGCUGUCAAAAUGGCAUAUUUUGUGAAGAUGCCCGCUUUUUAUGAGCUU
RNAcentral lists this long non-coding RNA (4148 nucleotides) under Bemisia tabaci. RNAcentral describes it as "lncRNA ENSSSA3NGG008385". Lineage: Eukaryota; Metazoa; Arthropoda; Insecta; Hemiptera; Aleyrodidae. The record is from RNAcentral.